This is a non-coding RNA of Pelobates cultripes (western spadefoot toad), 928 nucleotides long. The record is from the annotation of a GenBank genome assembly. NCBI's taxonomy places the organism in Eukaryota, Metazoa, Chordata, Amphibia, Anura, Pelobatidae.
CUGCAAAAUACAUACAUAAUAUUUAUAUGUUAUAGUAUGCUAAUUGUCCAAUUUUCACACCAUUUUGGCUCGUCCGAAUCGGUUUUCCCAAAAUGAUUACAUGGCCAAAAUGAUCCAAACUGAAAUGCCACAUGGACAAAAUCCGAAUUGACUUAACUAGUUUAUUUUUCAGGACGAACUGAAUUUGUUAGCUGUAAACAGAUCUGGUAGAUGUAAAACUCUGUAUUUUGAAGACACAAUGCACCUGAAUUAACCAUGCAUCUGAUUAUUUUCAUCAUGCUAGGUUCAUGGGUUUUGCUAAGAUAUAGAUAGUAUUUUCUCAUUCAAGUGGAAAGUAAAUGGACUUUGUCAGUGGAUUUCUUUCAAAUGACUUGGAGGAUGCAAGCAAAUGCAUUGUGAAUGCACUUGUGGAUGCCAUUUGCUCAAUGGGGGAAUUAUUGUGCAUGCACACUUGUGAUGUUUUACAGAUGUGUAUGCUCAAUUGCUUAUUAUAUCUCUUACUUGUGGAUCCACUGCCUAAAACAAACAUUCACAUUAAUAGUUCAAUAAAUAGGUGUUAGCCUGCAUCCUGGAUUACGCCUUUAACCCCUUAAGGACCAAAGUUCUGGAAUAAAAGGGAAUCAUGACAUGUCACGUGUCCUUAAGGGGUUAAUGGAAAUAAAAAUAUAGUUGCAACUUUAUAACUUUAUUUUCUAGAAUGCCACAGAUAUGUUUUUGUUUUCUCAUAGGCCUACAUGUAUGUAAAUGUUUUCUGUGAUCAAAAUACUAUAUAUAUAUAAUAUAUCUAUUGAUUCACUGAUUCAGUUCUGUUUAAGAAGGGAGUUGGGUUUCCAAAAUAAACUAUCUUCAGUUUACGUUACUUUUUUGAAAAAAAACUUUGAGAUCCAGAAUGGCUGCUAAUCCACCUAACAAUAUUAGAAUAAUCAAG